RNAcentral lists this ribosomal RNA (164 nucleotides) under uncultured bacterium. Its description in RNAcentral is "partial 16S rRNA". It matches the Rfam family "Bacterial small subunit ribosomal RNA", at positions 355 to 511 of the family's 1533-position model. The record is from RNAcentral.
UAGGGAAUCUUCCACAAUGGACGAAAGCCUGAUGGAGCAACGCCGCGUGAGUGAAGAAGGGUUUCGGCUCGUAAAACUCUGUUGUUAAAGAAGAACAUAUCUGAGAGUAACUGUUCAGGUAUUGACGGUAUUUAACCAGAAAGCCACGGCUAACUACGUGCCAC